RNAcentral lists this transfer RNA (71 nucleotides) under Anaerolineales bacterium. RNAcentral's name for it is "tRNA-Gln". It matches the Rfam family "tRNA". From Rfam's summary of the family: Transfer RNA (tRNA) molecules are approximately 80 nucleotides in length. Their secondary structure includes four short double-helical elements and three loops (D, anti-codon, and T loops). Lineage: Bacteria; Bacillati; Chloroflexota; Anaerolineae; Anaerolineales. RNAcentral also lists the same sequence under 2 other names. The record is from RNAcentral.
UGAGGGAUAGUUUAACGGCAAAACAGCGGACUCUGACUCCGUCGUUCCUGGUUCGAAUCCAGGUCCCUCAG